AUACGUAGGGGGCAAGCGUUGUCCGGAAUGAUUGGGCGUAAAGGGCGCGUAGGCGGCCCGGUAAGUCUGGAGUGAAAGUCCUGCCUUCAAGGUGGGAAUUGCUUUGGAUACUGUCGGGCUUGAGUGCAGGAGAGGUAAGUGGAAUUCCCAGUGUAGCGGUGAAAUGCGUAGAGAUUGGGAGGAACACCAGUGGCGAAGGCGACUUACUGGACUGUAACUGACGCUGAGGCGCGAAAGUGUGGGGAGC
This 247-nucleotide ribosomal RNA is filed under the name uncultured bacterium. RNAcentral describes it as "partial 16S ribosomal RNA". It matches the Rfam family "Bacterial small subunit ribosomal RNA", at positions 523 to 769 of the family's 1533-position model. The record is from RNAcentral.